AGCUUGCUUGUUGGGGUUGUAGGACUCCAAUAUGGUAGUUCUUUCAGAUAGUCGAAUGACUUGGAAAAGUCAGUCAAAGAGGGUAAAAACCCCGUAGACGAAAUGUGGAAGACACCUAGGAGGAUCCUGAGUACGGCGGAACACGAGAAAUUCCGUCGGAAUCCGGGAGGACCAUCUCCCAAGGCUAAAUACUCCCUAGUGACCGAUAGUGAACCAGUACCGUGAGGGAAAGGUGAAAAGCACCCCGGAAGGGGAGUGAAAUAGAACCUGAAACCGUGUGCCUACAACAAGUCAAAGCCCGUUAAUGGGUGAUGGCGUGCCUUUUGUAGAAUGAACCGGCGAGUUACGAUUGCAUGCGAGGUUAAGUUGAAGAGACGGAGCCGCAGCGAAAGCGAGUCUGAAUAGGGCGUUUGAGUAUGUAGUCGUAGACCCGAAACCAUGUGAUCUACCCAUGUCCAGGUUGAAGGUGCGGUAAAACGCACUGGAGGACCGAACCCACGUACGUUGAAAAGUGCGGGGAUGAGGUGUGGGUAGCGGAGAAAUUCCAAACGAACUUGGAGAUAGCUGGUUCUCUCCGAAAUAGCUUUAGGGCUAGCCUCGGAAUUGAGAAUGAUGGAGGUAGAGCACUGUUUGGACUAGGGGCCCAUCUCGGGUUACCGAAUUCAGAUAAACUCCGAAUGCCAUUCAUUCAUAUCCGGGAGUCAGACUGUGAGUGAUAAGAUCCAUAGUCGAAAGGGAAACAGCCCAGACCACCAGCUAAGGUCCCAAAAUAUAUGUUAAGUGGAAAAGGAUGUGGGGUUGCACAGACAACUAGG
This 815-nucleotide ribosomal RNA is filed under the name Enterococcus faecium. RNAcentral describes it as "partial 23S ribosomal RNA". It matches the Rfam family "Bacterial large subunit ribosomal RNA", at positions 282 to 1097 of the family's 2925-position model. Lineage: Bacteria; Bacillati; Bacillota; Bacilli; Lactobacillales; Enterococcaceae. The record is from RNAcentral.